RNAcentral lists this ribosomal RNA (58 nucleotides) under Pleosporaceae sp. RNAcentral's name for it is "partial 28S ribosomal RNA". The record is from RNAcentral. Lineage: Eukaryota; Fungi; Ascomycota; Dothideomycetes; Pleosporales; Pleosporaceae.
CUUUGACCUCGGAUCAGGUAGGGAUACCCGCUGAACUUAAGCAUAUCAAUAAGCGGAG